UCUUCACCUGUAGGUGGCUAUUUAAAAAAAAAUCUUAGCUUUGUUUGCUCUAAAAUUUUAUGUGAAAAACUUAAUGCAUAUUAUAUUUAAUCAGGCUUCUUUUGCUCACCAUGUUUGUGAGAUACAUUCGUGUAAUUGCAAUAUCUGUAGUUUUUUCGUUUUAUUGCUGGUAAUAUUUCAUUAUAUGGACAACUAUACUACAAAUUGUGCAUCCAUUCACCUGUUGAUGGACAAUUUACUUGUUCCCAGUUUGCUGCAAUUGUGAAUAACUUUCUACGAAUAUUGAUUAAACUUUAUAAUCUUACUACAUUGUACCAGUUCCUCUCAAUUCUCCACAGAGGUUCAGGAAAAGGGACAGCAGACUCUACAUUUUCCAUCCUACAUCCUUUCUAUCUGUGUGUAUGUAUGUGUGUGGCUGUAUUUUUCAGGCUACAUUGUGACAGUCCACAUCUCUUUCAGGAGCCAAUCUUGAAAGCCAUUGCCAAGAAAUGCAGUCGAAGCCCAGAUCAGGUCACCCGGCUCAGCGGCGUUGUUGGUUCCGGCCAAGAGCUUCUCUGAGAAGAGAAUGCAAGAUGACCUUCAGGGAUGGGGGCAGCUUGGAAGGGUGAGAAGAGAGAGCACUGGACUCAGAGUCCUAAGGUUUGUCACCUCUGUGCUUUGCUUUGCCACUUACUAGGUAUGUGACACUAAGCAAAUUUCAACUCUGUUAUUUUAAUCGGUUUUAGGAGUUCUUCUACAUGGUAAUAAAUUUAAGGGCCCUGGGUUCUCCCAUUUACCUUCUCUGCCCAACAAACUCCUAUUUGUAUUUUAAGAUCAAACCCAAAUAAGAUAAGCUGCUUUGUUUAACCACUCAAACCACCCACCAUAUUUUUUCACCAUUAUAAUACAUGGAACAGCUCUGCUUAGUGAGAUUUUUUUUCUUAUUAAUUGCCCACUGUUUGCUAAUAUGUCAGUGUGCUCUCUGGAUGGUGAGACCCUAAAUGCAGUGACUCUUUUAUUACCUUUCUCUUAGCAGAGAGGAAACCAGGUAUAAGUUCAUAGCCUUACCAAAUUAACAUAUACAAUGAGUAAAGUUAUUUCCUAAACCUCUCCCCAUAUACACUCUGGGCCUUAUAUUAAUCACAGGUCUCCAACUAAUUUUGUUUUGAAUCCCACAAGAAUUUUGAAAAACCAUGUAAGCUAUUUUUCAUUUUGAGAUGACAGCUACAAAUUUUAUCGUGAGUUUCAUAUUUACAAAAUACGACAUUUGAGACAUAUUAUUUGUAAUGUAUUUACUUCAAAACAUUUUAGUUAUAGAUCAAGUAUAUUCAUUUGUGGAAAAAUUCAAUUGGCAAAUCUAAAUCUCAUUGUUAAACCACACAGAUUACAUUUUAUUUUUCAAUUAAACACCUGUUAAUACCUGCUCCCAUGACAACCAAAUAACUUCUGAAGUACAUUAUUUAAAGGAAUAAUGGAUAAACUGGUGGGUGGAUAUAUAGAAAAUAGACAUAUAUAGAGAGAACAAGAUGAUGAUGAUAGUAGAUGGAAGGAUGAAUGAUAGAUAGAUACAUAGAUAGAUAAUAGGCAGAUUAUCUUAGCCUUUCAUGAAAUUGUCUUCUGGACCACAUAAUGAACUUAGUACUUUUUACCAAAGGUAUCUCUGUUUUGCUAUUAAAGGACUUCCCAUUAGAGGCUGCUCCCAUGACAACCAUAUCACUUCUGAAACACAUUUUAAAAAAGAAUAAUGGAUAAAUUGGUGGGUAGAUAGAUAGAAAAUGAACAGAUAUGUAUAGAGAGAAAUACAGAAAUAGAUGAUGAUAAUGGACGGAUAGAUAGAUAGAUGAUACAUAGGCAGAUGAUAUGAGUCUUUCAUGAUUGUCUCCUGGAUCACAUAAUAAACUUAGCUUUUUUUUUUUUUUUUUAACCAAAUGUCUCUCUGUUUUGCUAUGAAAGGACUUCCUAUCAGGGGCUAUGUGUUGACAAGUGAAAACCAACUUAGACUUAAGUAAGAGAAAUUUAUUCAAAGGGUAGAACUCUGAGCAUAACAUCUAUGUAUCUCAAAGAUCGAUCAGAAAACAUUCUUUAUAAAGGACAAGCAAACAGAGCUGCAAACGGACAGUAUUUAGGGGUCCUGAGGUGAGCAAGUAGAAGAGUUGAUCAGGAAAUGCUUUUUAUGGGGCAGAUUACUGAGUGGGAUUUUCCUGUUGUCCAAGGCUUGUUCAGUGUAAGCCUACGACUGGAUCGAGUUCCAGGGGCAGUGGGGAAACAAGAGCCUGACCAAGUGUGGUCAAGUCCAGGUGGUAGGUAUUGUGUCCACACUUCCUUUUCUAUUUUAAAACAAGUGAUUUCUUUUUUCUGUCUCAAGCAAUUCUCUAGAAAUAUUUUAGAUUGAUGAGUGUACACUUUCCUUUUGAGAACUGGUGUGGAGUAGAAGAGGGGUGGGAUGGAGAAGAGGCAGCGCUCAGGUGGAAGAGGUUCCAGGCCAGGCGCACCUGGAAACAUGAGGAUGGAAAUGUCUCCCUAAUGCCAUGCUUGCCUGUCUCCUGCAAAGUCCUUGGAUUCCCAGGUGGAAGCUGCUGUCCUGGGGAAAGGUUAAUGUGAGUAUUGCCUGCCUUUCAGGUUUUUGACUUUGAGCUGACUCCAGAGGACGUAAAAGCCAUUGAUGGCCUCAACAGAAAUCUCCAACAUGCUAAGUUACAAUUGUGAUACUUGCAGAUUCUUCACAGACUGUUUUCUGUAGCACACACAGAAACAGAGGAACAUCUUCCCUACAUCAGGAAGACAGUCCUGAAUUCAGGCAUGGGAUGAAACAGGAAAUUCGCUGUAGCCCUCAGAACAUAAGUUUCCUCCAGGGCUCUAUUUCUGACGCAACAGAAAGUCCAUCUGUAAGUAACACUGCCUAUGUCUGCUCUAUUGUGAAUCCACUUUUUUUUUAAUGCCCGCACUACCAGUGCCUGGGUCCUAUACUUUGGGCCCAUUUACCCAUUAGACUAGAAGGCACAAGCCUGUCUUAAUUUAUGUGAAAAAAGAAGAAAAAUUAACACAAUAAUAACAAAUAUGUAAUAAUGACUCAAACCUGGUCUAUCUUCAUGUCCCCGCCCCAGCAGAAGUCUCCAUGUGGUUCCUGCCUAGUGGAGACGUGGGAGCAGGACCAUAGCCCUCCAGACCCCAGAAUCACAGAGUCUUCAGCAGCUUGAAACUUCUGCCUGGAAAAGCCACAGGCAAUGAAUUCCAAUUUGUGAAAGCAGCCACAUGGGCUGUGCUCAGCAAAGCCAGGGGAAUAGGGCUUCCCAGAUGCUUGAGAGCUGACCCCUUGCACCAGGUGCCCAGGAUGCAGGACAUAAAGUCAAUGGAAAUUAUCUUGGAGCUUUAAGGUUUGAUGUCUGCCUUGCUGGAAUUCUGAUUUCCAUGAGUCCUGUUUCUCUGUCCCUACUCCUGCCUUUUUUUGAUUACCUUCCUUUUUGAAAAAGGAAUGUUUACCCACAGCUGAUAGAACAGUUGUACUUUGAAAGUAAAUAACUUGUUUUUGACUUCAUAGGCUCAUAACUGGCAGGAAGUUGCCUUGAGUCUGAUAGGAAUUUUUGUACUUUGGAAUUUUAAGUUGGUGCUGGACCAAGUUACAACUUUUGGGAAAUACUGGGAUGAAAUAAUUACAUUUUGCAUGUGAGAAGAACAUGAAUUUAUGGAUUGGGGGCUGAAUGCCAUAGCUGGCAUAUGUGACCCUCCCAACCAUAUGCUGAAUUCUCAAUGUAGGAGGCGAGGCCUAGUGAAGUCAUUAUGGUCAUGGGGGCAGAUUUCUCAUGAAUGACUUGGUGCUCUCCCUAUAGUAACAAGUGAAUUCUGGCUUUAUUACUUUUUUGAUUGCUGCUUGUUAAGAAGAGCCUAGCACCUUACUUUGCUCUCUUACUCUGUGACCUCAGCACAUGCUGGCUUUCCUUUCCCUUCUGCCACGAGUGGAAGCAGCCUGAAGCCCUCACCAAAGGCCUAAUAGACGCCAGUGCCAUGCCUCCCGAACAGCCAGCAGACCGUGAGCCAAUAAACCUCUUUAUAAACA
This is a long non-coding RNA of Cebus imitator (Panamanian white-faced capuchin), 4033 nucleotides long. RefSeq lists it as uncharacterized. The record is from RefSeq and is a predicted model, not a curated record. The transcript is spliced from 2 exons. Lineage: Eukaryota; Metazoa; Chordata; Mammalia; Primates; Cebidae.